This 852-nucleotide ribosomal RNA is filed under the name Escherichia coli. RNAcentral describes it as "partial 23S ribosomal RNA". It matches the Rfam family "Bacterial large subunit ribosomal RNA", at positions 418 to 1268 of the family's 2925-position model. The record is from RNAcentral. Lineage: Bacteria; Pseudomonadati; Pseudomonadota; Gammaproteobacteria; Enterobacterales; Enterobacteriaceae.
CGGGACACGUGGUAUCCUGUCUGAAUAUGGGGGGACCAUCCUCCAAGGCUAAAUACUCCUGACUGACCGAUAGUGAACCAGUACCGUGAGGGAAAGGCGAAAAGAACCCCGGCGAGGGGAGUGAAAAAGAACCUGAAACCGUGUACGUACAAGCAGUGGGAGCACAGAGCAAUCUGUGUGACUGCGUACCUUUUGUAUAAUGGGUCAGCGACUUAUAUUCUGUAGCAAGGUUAACCGAAUAGGGGAGCCGAAGGGAAACCGAGUCUUAACCGGGCGUUAAGUUGCAGGGUAUAGACCCGAAACCCGGUGAUCUAGCCAUGGGCAGGUUGAAGGUUGGGUAACACUAACUGGAGGACCGAACCGACUAAUGUUGAAAAAUUAGCGGAUGACUUGUGGCUGGGGGUGAAAGGCCAAUCAAACCGGGAGAUAGCUGGUUCUCCCCGAAAGCUAUUUAGGUAGCGCCUCGUGAAUUCAUCUCCGGGGGUAGAGCACUGUUUCGGCAAGGGGGUCAUCCCGACUUACCAACCCGAUGCAAACUGCGAAUACCGGAGAAUGUUAUCACGGGAGACACACGGCGGGUGCUAACGUCCGUCGUGAAGAGGGAAACAACCCAGACCGCCAGCUAAGGUCCCAAAGUCAUGGUUAAGUGGGAAACGAUGUGGGAAGGCCCAGACAGCCAGGAUGUUGGCUUAGAAGCAGCCAUCAUUUAAAGAAAGCGUAAUAGCUCACUGGUCGAGUCGGCCUGCGCGGAAGAUGUAACGGGGCUAAACCAUGCACCGAAGCUGCGGCAGCGACACUGUGUGUUGUUGGGUAGGGGAGCGUUCUGUAAGCCUGUGAAGGUGUGCUGUGAGG